Molecule: ribosomal RNA, 820 nt
Filed under: Eumeces schneiderii
Lineage: Eukaryota; Metazoa; Chordata; Lepidosauria; Squamata; Scincidae
Description: Eumeces schneideri partial 16S rRNA
Rfam family: Bacterial large subunit ribosomal RNA
Source: RNAcentral
CACAGCAACUAUCAAAAAGAUCCCAAACAUAAAAACGAGCUCCUAGCCACAUACAGAGCUACACUAUAAUGAUAGAAGAACUUAUGCUAAAACUAGUAACAAGAAAUAUUCUCUCACAGCACAAACAUGAACCAGCAAUAGAAAAACUACUGAAGAUUAACAGACCAAAAAAGGAAGGGCAACCAAAAGCAAAGCCUGCCCUUUAAACUGUCAAACCGACACCGGAGUGCUAAAUAGAAAGAUUAAAAGCCACACAAGGAACUCAGCAAAAUCUGUCCCAACUGUUUACCAAAAACAUAGCCUUUAGCCAAACUAGUAUUAAAGGUCCCGCCUGCCCAGUGAUACAUUUUAACGGCCGCGGUAUCCUAACCGUGCAAAGGUAGCGUAAUCACUUGUCUCCUAAAUAGAGACCAGUAUGAACGGCUAAAUGAGGACAGGCCUGUCUCCUGUGGCCAAUCAGUGAAACUGAUCCUCCAGUACAAAAGCUGGAAUAUAAACAUAAGACGAGAAGACCCUGUGGAGCUUCAAACACCCACUAACAAGCAUUCCUGCCCCUAGUGUAAAGUUUUAAGUUGGGGCGACUUCGGAGCAAAACGAAACCUCCGAGAACAGAGCCACACACUCUUACCGAGGCCUACAAGCCAAAGUUAAAACAACAGACCCAGUAAUACUGAUCAACGAACCAAGUUACCCCAGGGAUAACAGCGCUAUCUUCUUCAAGAGUCCAUAUCGACAAGAAGGUUUACGACCUCGAUGUUGGAUCAGGACACCCAAAUGGUGCAGCCGCUAUUAAUGGUUCGUUUGUUCAACGAUUAACAGU